GCUGGCCUGUCUAUAUUCAUCCUGAGACACACGACUGCAUAUAAAUACAUGUUUAAUAAAGGGGAGCAUGUAAAAUAUAUCAGUAGGUGGGAGAUAAACA
This 100-nucleotide long non-coding RNA is filed under the name Homo sapiens (human). RNAcentral describes it as "ZEB2 antisense RNA 1". Lineage: Eukaryota; Metazoa; Chordata; Mammalia; Primates; Hominidae. The record is from RNAcentral.